AUGCAGAGUCUCCGCCGCCACCACCCAUGCUCGCCGGCGGCGCCGCCCCUGGACGACGACAACCUGCUCUCCGAGAUCCUCCUCCGCCUACCCCCGCAGCCGUCCUCCCUCCCCCGCGCCUCCGCCGUCUGCAAGCGAUGGCGCCUCCUCGUCUCCGACCCAGGCUUCUCCCGCCGCUUCCGCAUCCACCACCGCCGCAACCCUCCCCUCCUCGGUAUUUUCGAUGAACGCUCUGGCGAGAUCUCCUUCCUACCUACUCUGGAUGCCCCCAAUCGUAUCCCGCCCGGUUGCUUAUCUUUGAAGUUCGACGGCGGCGACCGCUUCCUGCCCCUCGGAUGUCGCCAUGGCCUUGUACUCGUCUUCCACUUCAACGAAUCUUGGAAACAGAUCCUGGUGUGCGAUCCUGCCACCGCCGACCAGCACCGCAUUGCCUUGCCCCCAGGGCUUGCCACACUUAUGGAGAAGACCCCCUUCAAUGGAGCUGUGCUCCGGGCUGCCGGAGAGACCCACUUCCGAGUGGUCUUGACAGUGGCAGACAACGACAACAAGCAACACUUACGAGCUCUCGCCUGGGUUUACUCGUCAGGGACCGGCUUAUGGGGUGAUGUCAUCUCAGCACCGGUUCCACCUGAGGUUCCUAUGAGUGAGUAUUCCACCUUGGUUUUUAUUGCUAGGCAGCAUGCUGUGCUGGUUGGGGAUUCCCUUUACUGGAGGCUUGUUGGGGAUUUUUAUGGAAUUCUCGAGUUCGAUAUGAAGAAGCAAAGCCUAGCUGUGAUACGGGUGCCGGUGCAUAUCCUUGAAGAGGGCCAUUACAUAUUCUUGAUUGUGCGGGCAGAGGGUGGUGGCCUUGGUUUAAUCCUCUGGACAGGCUGCAACAUCCAAUUAUGGAAGAGGAAGAAUGAUUGUGAUGGUGCUGCUUCAUGGGUUCUUGGAAGAACUAUUGAACUGGACAAGCUACUUUUCCUGAAUUCUGAGGAGGAUGACAUAAAGAUACUAGGGUUCGCCGAGGAAAAUAAUGUGUUGUUACUGUGGACUGGUGGCGCGCUUUUUAUGGUCCAUCUUGAGUCACUGCAGUUCAAGAGAGUUUUUGAAAGCGUCCACAUUCCUCAUUGCCAGCCAUUUGAAAGUGUCUAUACUGCAGGUAUCUAG
This 1149-nucleotide ribosomal RNA is filed under the name Triticum aestivum (bread wheat). RNAcentral describes it as "partial small subunit ribosomal RNA". Lineage: Eukaryota; Viridiplantae; Streptophyta; Magnoliopsida; Poales; Poaceae. The record is from RNAcentral.